This is a long non-coding RNA of Herpailurus yagouaroundi (jaguarundi), 921 nucleotides long. RefSeq lists it as uncharacterized. NCBI's taxonomy places the organism in Eukaryota, Metazoa, Chordata, Mammalia, Carnivora, Felidae. The record is from RefSeq and is a predicted model, not a curated record. The transcript is spliced from 2 exons.
UGCUACAAGUGGAUCAUAUAACUAAUAUCGGUAUAGAUGAGUAGGUUCAGAAAUUAAAAAAAUAAAUAAAGACAUUUCACAGCUUACACUGCAGAGAUAAUUUGGUCAGGAAACUACUGUUACCACUACUGGGUGCUGCCCUUGCUGAGGGCAGACAUGAACAGGGAGUUCCAGCUUCUCUGUCAUCUCGCCUUCAAUCUCUCUCUCAAUCUCUGUCUCUGUCUCUGUCUCUGUCUCUGUCUCCCUAGCUUCAGUGCUUUAGGAAAAACAAUGUACUUGACUGAUGCUUCUUCUGACGCUUUUACCUUAACUAUUAGUGGCUGAUGAGAAGAAAAAUUCCUCUCAUUAUGAUCCUACAGGUAUGAUGCAACAAAGCAUCACACUAACAUUAUGAAACUUGGAAAGCUACCCCAAAUACCAAGAAUUGCCUUUUAUCACUUGAUGUUGUGAUACGAGUAGAACCUCAGGAAUCCCUAUCGUCCAUUCUUCUGUGUCCACAAGCUCAGUGCAUGACAGAAAUCUUAACUCCUCUCUCACCACCAGAAUUAGUCAUCUCAGAGAGUCAGGUAACUGCAUAUCUUGCGUAGGACUCAGUCACGAGGAUCUUCAAAUACACAGGAGGCAGGCUGACCUUCCAACAAUAGUGGAAGCAUGUUGAUUCAUAAUGAGAGCACUUCAUUCAUAAUGAAAGUAUAAAACUGUAUGUCAGCAAAAAGUGACUGACAAGAAGAAAAGAGUUAAACCUGAGAGACCUAAUGCAUAAGAGAAUGUUGGAGAGAUUUUAUUUUCCUUUGUCACAGAUGGGAGAAAUUUGAAGAGGACUAAUGGUUUAGAGAACAUUCCUAUAUACUAUAAAAUCUGGAGACCUGCCCAUUAGAAUCUGUAUCUGUGCCCAUAAAAGAUCUACAUCUUGAAAUCAAA